Molecule: non-coding RNA, 279 nt
Organism: Arachis ipaensis
Lineage: Eukaryota; Viridiplantae; Streptophyta; Magnoliopsida; Fabales; Fabaceae
Source: RefSeq, a predicted model, not a curated record
UCUAACUACUUUUUUUUGGCUUCCCAUAAAUCAAAGUUCCUACAUAGCUGAACUUUCCAUCAUGCUACACGUCAUGGAUAGCAAAAUAGACAGAAAUUGAAUGCAAACUGGUUGGUGCUUUAGCACAAUCUAUUCAAUUUGGUUCAACCAAGCAAGAUCUUUACCAAGAUAUUUUCACUUAAAUAUUGCCAAAAUUUUCAUCUGAUAUCUCUUCUUUGGGUUGCCCUAUUGUCAUAGCCAAAAUGCAGUUCACAUUUAUGUUCCAAUGCUCGUGUGCUG